UAUUUAUUAGAUAAAAAACCAACGCCCUUCGGGGCUCCUUGGUGAAUCAUAAUAACUUAACGAAUCGCAUGGCCUUGCGCCGGCGAUGGUUCAUUCAAAUUUCUGCCCUAUCAACUUUCGAUGGUAGGAUAGUGGCCUACCAUGGUGGCAACGGGUAACGGGGAAUUAGGGUUCGAUUCCGGAGAGGGAGCCUGAGAAACGGCUACCACAUCCAAGGAAGGCAGCAGGCGCGCAAAUUACCCAAUCCCGAUACGGGGAGGUAGUGACAAUAAAUACUGAUACGGGGCUCUUUUGGGUCUCGUAAUUGGAAUGAGAACAAUUUAAAUCCCUUAACGAGGAACAAUUGGAGGGCAAGUCUGGUGCCAGCAGCCGCGGUAAUUCCAGCUCCAAUAGCGUAUAUUAAAGUUGUUGCAGUUAAAAAGCUCGUAGUUGAACCUUGGGUCUGGCUGGCCGGUCCGCCUCACCGCGAGUACUGGUCCGGCUGGACCUUUCCUUCUGGGGAACCUCAUGGCCUUCACUGGCUGUGGGGGGAACCAGGACCUUUACUGUGAAAAAAUUAGAGUGUUCAAAGCAGGC
Molecule: ribosomal RNA, 576 nt
Filed under: uncultured eukaryote
Lineage: Eukaryota
Description: SSU rRNA
Rfam family: Eukaryotic small subunit ribosomal RNA
Source: RNAcentral